CAUCAUGUGAGUGUAAGAUUGCUCUGGAUUCUGGUUAUGUGGCCUGCAGCACCUAUAAGAACAAGCUCGUACAGUGUGCCUGCAUUCCAGCUUCUUAGACUCUACGCAAGUGGACAGAGUAUCAGUGUUUGGCCACCCUUACAGACACCGACUUCUGUCAACUCACUGCUACUGAUCAGGCACCUCACUCCAGGAAGACAGAGGGCUGCAAGCCUGUCAUCGUUUCCAGUGUGGCUUUGUAUUCUUGGGGUAGUAUCAGAUUUUUCCCACAAAUAUUCAAAGAUUUAUAUGCAGUGAUCGGAUGUGGUGGAGCUUUGUUAACUGUGUGGAAAACAUCUGUUUGUGAUUAUAUUUACAAUGAGGCUUUAAGGUGACAGUUUCCAUGUAAUUUCAAUCCUUUUACUAAGCAAAAACAUGUUUGUAAUUAACAUAUUUUUUUCAGUUUUGUCUUUUGGAUUUAUGGUUAACAUUCCUCCGUGACAGCAAAUACUAAACUGGUCCAAGUAACCAGCAUAUCAUUGGUCAAAGGCAAAAAGGACCACAUGUCACACUAGCAAUGAAUUUUUGACUGUGUUUGUGUCACCAGAUUUAACAAACAAUAUCAGACAUAUGAAACUGAACUCUGGAUUAAUGUGCAGAUGUUUUUUGUGUUUUUUUUAAAUUGUUGAAUAAUUAUUUU
Oreochromis niloticus (Nile tilapia) is the source of this 679-nucleotide long non-coding RNA. RefSeq lists it as uncharacterized. The record is from RefSeq and is a predicted model, not a curated record. The transcript has 3 exons. NCBI's taxonomy places the organism in Eukaryota, Metazoa, Chordata, Actinopteri, Cichliformes, Cichlidae.